This is a long non-coding RNA of Apus apus (common swift), 3013 nucleotides long. RefSeq lists it as uncharacterized. The transcript is spliced from 3 exons. The record is from RefSeq and is a predicted model, not a curated record. NCBI's taxonomy places the organism in Eukaryota, Metazoa, Chordata, Aves, Apodiformes, Apodidae.
UUUGGAUCUGGUUUUGUAGAACUGCUGGCUUAGCUGUAUCUUAUCGUAAUCACUGGUGCAUUUGAUAGUUGCUUUAAUGAAGAGAUACACUCACCACAUGCAAGCCAGUGUGCUCUUGGAAGGUCUAGGAAGCUGUGUGAUUGGGGUCAUAGAAAAUUUCAAAGAAAAAUAAUACAGCAUUUCCCCACAGUCUCUCCUUGACAGGCCUGCAGGAGGGCCACGAGAGGGCGAUGUGUUAGCAGAAAAAACUUCCACAACGCGCUAAAGGCAAAGUAAGGACCGAAUUUUGUUCCUGUUGGAAGAAAAAGAUGCUUUCCUUCAUAUGGCAAAUACGAUGCUGUUUUAAAACUACACAGAUGAAAUCCUCCAGGAACUCUGAAGAUGGAAAUCCAUCUAGCCAUGCAUUGCCAGCAAGCGCUUGAUGUUUUCAGCAUUUCAUUUGGGAAAAGAUAGUAAGAAAGCAGCAGCUGAUUGAGAGGAAGAACACAGAAGAGAACAGAGGGAAGGGAAGGCUGACAGCUUCUACGUGGAAAUUCACGAAUGUCUCAGCAUCAUUCCCUACAGCCUUCAAGGGGUAUGUAAUGUGUAUGUGCACAUGAGGCUCUGAUAUGUACUCUGCCCAUGAUAUUUUCCUCUUCAACAACAAAAAAUAUAUAUAUAUUUGAGGUGAUGUUAUACCUGACUACACCAAAUUGCUCGUAUCACCUUUGAUCACCCCAUCUCCCUUGACCCUCAUCUGUCCUUAAUGUCCAGACAUACAAUUAAUCUAUGUACAUCUUGUUAAUUUAUAAUUGUAGCUCAGGCAAGUGUUAUUGCCCUGUUAUGGGGAAAGUGCUCAAGUACAUUUAUUUACUUCAUGGAUUGUUUCACUGAGUUCCUUACUUGGGAUGACUUUAGUGGGUUUGAGAACUUGCCAGCUCUUUUCUCCAUUAGUGCUUGUCUAGCUGACUGCUGCUUCCCAGCUGCUUAGGAGCAUCUUACAAACUUGAGCUCAAAGAGGUCUUUAUGUUCUGUGAGAGGUAUUUGGGAACUAAUAGCAACAGUGCAUCAAAUGGAUUAAUCUAGUUUGAAAGCCACUUCUUUAUGUGACCAAGUGACAGGACAUUGUGUCAGGUUUGCCAUAGAAAAUGCAUAUAGCCCUACCUAGCCUUGCACGUGAGCGAGCUAUGCAUUGUCUGUACAGCCCCAGCAGAAGAGAAAGUCUAGGCAACAACUGAGUGCCAGCAGGCAGGGAGAGAGCGAGCAGUAUGGCUUCAGGGAGAUGUAGCAUUUUUCAAUGAUGGUUAAUUUUUUUUAAGCAAUGAUUUUCUGUUUAGUGGUUAACGGAGGUUGAUGAGCUAAAAAUCCUAUUCAUUAAGCAAAUUUUUAAAAAAUUUAAUCCUUAGUCUUCCAGGAGGUGGCAGUAUUACUUGGUGCUAAAGCAAGUUAACCCAAAGGAUCUGUGAGCAAUUUUUGGUUACCAUUGCAUUGCUUUUUGUACCACAGAUGACCAAGUGAGUCUUCCAGGACACAGCUUGAGCUCUCCUCUAAUCUCAAAGCCCACUGCUAUCAUGGUGGAGUCUCUGGGAGCUAAAGCUGUCUUCUUGCUGAUUUCUUUUGGCUGCCUCUUUGUCCUUUAAGCAUAGAGGAAGUUGUCUGGAACAGGGAAGCUGCCCCUGGGGCCAUUUGCUCUGUCUGUUUUAGUCAUGGCACAGCUGAAGUGUCAGUAUGGAGUAUUUUUUUUUGUUUUCGUCUGGAGAGAGGACUUUUAAUAGUUGAUCCUCUUCAAUAUGUAGUGAUAGAAUGGAUGAUAUUUUCAUAUCUCUUUCAUUCAUUCAUAUUACUGUGAUUCUGUGACAUUUUUUUGCUUUUGCCUUUGCAAUGCCAUGCUACCACCUCAGGUUAUAUCUAGCUUAUGAAUAUGUUGAAAGGAAAGAAGCCGUGCCCAUUUCACAUAAACAGGUAAGGCUGUUGUGGUAAUAUUAGAGUUGCUGUCUUUUUUUCCACAGAUCACAGAUUCAGCUCUGUCUUCUCUGUAGUCACUAUAAAUUAUACAUUGCAGAGAAUGUAGUAAAGUUAGGAAAUGCCAGGCUGACAUCUGUACGUGUGCUCGGCAACUCAUGUAAACUUUUUAAAAUCUGUUUUUGCCUGAUUGCAACAUUGCUGUAGUGAUCUUUAUGUCCUUCAUAAAGUGCUAAGAGGCUGCAAGGUGCCAUUCAUGCAGUAAAUGGUACUGGCAGAUCCCAGUGUUAUUUUAUUUGGCCUCUUUUGCCACACGGACAGCUCUGUAACUGCAGUUGAGGUUCUGGAAGGUCUCAUAGGAUCAGUACAACCUUCUCCCACAUUGUUGCUGAGAGUGGAAGUUUUAUAGGCCAGUUCUGUCUUCAAGCCAUAAUAUAUUUCAUAUAAGUGAGUCAAAUGAAAGUCAAAUAUGUACAAGACUUGGAAGACAUUUGGGAGUAUAAGUUUUGUUCUGGGAUCUCAGAAAAACAACAAUUCAGUGUAUUUCUUCUUUAUUUUGCAAUAUAUAUUUUAAUUUCACAAACUCUCAUUAUAAUCAACCAGGAGAGGACCCAUCUGCCCAGCUGUUGAUCCAUCUCCACCACAGGGGAUAAUAUGUACUGGGACAAGAAUACAGUAGAUGAUACUCUUCUAACAGAAAGAAACCACUGAUUUAUGUUUACCUUUACAAAUAGACCACAAACAAACUGAAAAUUCAGAGGAGAGAGGUACCUCAAGCAGAGUCUGUUGGAAUCCAGGAGUACAAGCAUCUUGUGCUGAGAGGAUUAAGUAGCAGCAGCAGCAGGGCUCUCAGAGCACUAGUCCACACACCCUGAUAUGUCAGGGUGUCAGGAGCCAGAUAGGAACCUGAGCUGGGUGAGGUAGAGGAGAGGUGAGCCUGCAGAGGAGAGCCUGUAUAAUUUUGUACAGGAAGCUGUCUCCUUCCCUGUACAAUUGCCUACUCUGUUCAGAGCCAGCUGUGGUGAUUGUAAAAGCACCACGCAAUUUUCUUUUGUAAGCAUGUUUCUCUCCA